Acetivibrio ethanolgignens is the source of this 74-nucleotide transfer RNA. It matches the Rfam family "tRNA". Rfam says of the family: Transfer RNA (tRNA) molecules are approximately 80 nucleotides in length. Their secondary structure includes four short double-helical elements and three loops (D, anti-codon, and T loops). Lineage: Bacteria; Bacillati; Bacillota; Clostridia; Acetivibrionales; Acetivibrionaceae. The record is from Rfam.
GUGCGUGUAGCUCAGCUGGAUAGAGCGUCUGGCUACGGACCAGAAGGUCGAGGGUUCGACUCCUUUCACGCACG